GAAGUGAGGAUAGAAGGCCAAAUAUGGCUUCAGCUACAACAGAUCUCUUGAUUGGCAAAAUUGUAGGCAUCCUCGAGAAUGAAGCAUCCGCCAUAGCCGGUGUUGGUGAUCAAGUUGAUGAGAUUAAACAGGAGCUUCUAUACAUGAAAUCCUUCCUGAAAGAUGCUGAGGGCAAGGAACCACACACGGAAGGAGAGAAAACGUGGGUUACAAUGGUGAGAAACUUGGCCUUUAAAGCUGAAGUUAUCAUUGACAAAUUCAUGUAUGACAUGUAUGAGCAGCAAAGUCAGGGUAGAUUCGCGAGGUGGCUCCAGAAACCCAUUCACCUUCCAAAGAUUCUUUGGUAUAGGCGUCAAGUCGCCAUUGAGUUACAGAAAAUCACAAGAACGAUCAAAGCCAUUCCAGAGAGGAAUCAAAGAUAUGGUGUUGGUUCCCUAAGCAGUUCGUCUAAUGAUAAUCACAAAUGGGUGAAGAACCAAGCGGAUCAGUCUUCUCUUUUCAUUAAGGAAGAUGAGCUCGUGGGGAUUGAAAGAAAGAAGCAAACAUUGAUGGAAAGGCUGAUGAGUGAAGAACGACACCAAAUGGUUGUGUCCGUGGUCGGUAUGGGAGGAUCAGGGAAGACCACUCUAGUUGCCAAGACCUUCACCGAUGAAACUAUAAAGAGAUAUUUCGACUGUUAUGCAUGGAUAACUGUUUCCCAAACCUACGUGAUUGAAGACUUAUUUAGAAGCUUGAUCAAGGAAUUUCACCGAUCAAGAAAGGAAGAGGUCCCUCCAAGCAUAAGUUCUCUUGAACAUACAGAACUGGUAGAGAUGCUUCGCAACUACUUGGAUGCUAAAAGGUACCUUGUUGUACUAGAUGAUGUGUGGGAUAUCAAACUUUGGGUCGCUUCCAGAUAGAAGAGCUCUUGGAAACCGGAUCUUGCUUACAACUCGAAAUCAAGAAAUUGCAUUGUAUCCUUAUGGAGUAGAAAGCCAUGUUUAUCGAAUUGAACUCCUGGAAAAGGAUGAGGCUUGGGAGCUCUUUAACAAGAAAGCAUUCUCAACUUAUCAUGAGCAAUGCUGUCCACCAGAGUUUGAAUCAUUAGCUUCGGAACUUGUGGAAAAGUGUGAAGGCUUGCCUCUUGCAAUCGUGGCCUUAAGUGGUGUUCUGUCUUCCAAGGGGUCCCCUACAGAGUGGAGCAAAGUGUACAACAGCUUGAAUUGGCAGCUAACAAACAACCCUUUGCUAAAACCUAUGAGGACCAUCUUGUUGCUUAGUUUCGAUGAUUUGCCAUAUCAAUUGAAGCAUUGUUUCAUGUACUGUUCCCUUUUCCCAGAAGACUAUUUGAUCGAUGGAGAAAGGCUCAUUAGAUUGUGGUUGGCUGAAGGAUUUGUUGAGCAAGUUGACGGGCUCACACCGGAAGAAGUUGCAGAGAACUAUCUUAUAGAACUUAUUCGUCGUAGCAUGCUAAAAGUUGAAGAUCGGACUGACAUGGGAAAGGCCCUAGCAUAUAAAAUGCACGACAUUUUGCGCGAGCUUGCUCUAUCCAUGUCACAAAAAGAAAAUUUUGCUGCAAACUACGUUGGGAGAGAAAUGAGAAAGGUUACAGCACGUCGUUUGUCAAUUCAAACAACUGAAGGAGAAAUUAGCUCAAUAAAAGGUUUGUCAGAGCUCCGUUCUUUUCUUUUCUUUGUCACUAGCACAUUUUCACUGCCUUCUAGAUCUAAAUUGUUGAAGGUUCUAGAUUUGGAGAAAGUCCCCAUUGAUAAGCUCCCAAGUGGAUUAGUGUAUUUAUUUAACUUGAGGUAUUUAAAUUUGAGGGGAACUUCAAUUAAGGAGCUUCCAAAAUUUAUAGGAAGACUUGGAAACCUUGAAACCUUGGACAUAUCACACACCAAAAUAGAAGCACUUCCAAGAGGAGUUUCCAAGUUGUUAAACCUGCGCCAUCUACUUAUGUACCAUCACACUUGGGACGACGUUGGAUUUAAAUACCUCAAGGGGACACGAGUACCAUCAAAUAUUAGUGAGUUGAAGAAAUUGCAGGUGUUGGAAAAAUUUGAAUCAGACGGAAACAUUGCAGGACUCGUUGGAAGUAUGACCCAGCUUAGACAGCUUGGCAUUACGAAUGUGAAAGGAAGUGACGAAAUGGACCUAUGUGACUCGAUUCAAAAGAUGAAGCAGCUUCGCAACUUGAGUUUGACGGCAACGAAUGCAGAUGAAUUUCUUAAGGUCGACAAGCUAUCUUCACCUCCUCCGCAUCUUGAAAUUGUUUCUUUAGCUGGGAAACUGCACAAAGCACCAGUUUGGUUUUGUUCACUACAAAGCCUCACACAUCUCCAUCUGCAUUGGGCUAAACUUGAAAACGAUGAGCUACUACCUCAAAUUGAAGCAUUGCCAUGUUUGGCAAGUCUUGACCUUUUUAAUGCCUACAUUGGGAAGGAGCUGUACUUCGGUGGAGGCUUUCCAAAGCUUACACGUUUAGUUUUGUCUAAUCUCCUCUUUUUGAGUAAGAUCACUAUAGAAAAAGGGGUUAUGCCAAAUCUCAAGUCUCUAUUUCUUAAUAGCUGCAUUGAAUUGAAGACAUUGCCACUGGGUAUUGAGUACCUUCUUAAUCUAAACACAUUGGAAUUGGUGUAUCUUCCAACGCAACUUGUAGACUCCAUACGAGAAGGAGGUGUGGAUCGUCCAAAGGUGCAACACAUUCCCAAAAUCCACAAUUAUUACACAACAUCGUCUGGAAGUACGUCUUAUGAAAGCCUGUCCUAUACAUAGAUAGCACCACGGCAGAUUGUUUUGCUGCACCCAGUUUGGCCCAUGAAGAACCUGCAAAGAGUUUGCCUCUUCUCAAUGGCGUCCCAGCCAGAUUCUGUUCAAAAGGUUCACCUUGUUAUUGUUUGUUUGCAUGAAAUAAUACUGGAGAUGGAAUGUGUGUGUGUCAAUUCUACGUUAGCAGCGUGGGUUGAACAUGAAGAUUCG
Molecule: RNA transcript, 2958 nt
Organism: Prunus mume (Japanese apricot)
Lineage: Eukaryota; Viridiplantae; Streptophyta; Magnoliopsida; Rosales; Rosaceae
Gene name: disease resistance protein RPM1 pseudogene
Source: RefSeq, a predicted model, not a curated record